Molecule: ribosomal RNA, 398 nt
Filed under: uncultured bacterium
Lineage: Bacteria
Description: partial 16S ribosomal RNA
Rfam family: Bacterial small subunit ribosomal RNA
Source: RNAcentral
AUACGUAGGGUGCGAGCGUUGUCCGGAAUUACUGGGCGUAAGGAGCUCGUAGGUGGUUUGUCGCGUCGUCUGUGAAAUUCCGGGGCUUAACUCCGGGCGUGCAGGCGAUACGGGCAUAACUUGAGUACUGUAGGGGAGACUGGAAUUCCUGGUGUAGCGGUGAAAUGCGCAGAUAUCAGGAGGAACACCGGUGGCGAAGGCGGGUCUCUGGGCAUUAACUGACGCUGAGGAGCGAAAGCAUGGGUAGCGAACAGGAUUAGAUACCCUGGUAGUCCAUGCCGUAAACGGUGGGCGCUAGGUGUAGGGGUCUUCCACGACUUCUGUGCCGUAGCUAACGCAUUAAGCGCCCCGCCUGGGGAGUACGGCCGCAAGGCUAAAACUCAAAGGAAUUGACGGGG